ACGGCUCAGUAACACGUAGUCAACAUAACCAAAGGACGUGGAUAAACUCGGGAAACUGAGGCUAAACCGCGAUAGAUCAAGAUACCUGGAAUGGUUUUUGAUCAAAAUCUAUAUGGCCUUUGGAUUGGACUGCGUCCGAUCAGGCUGUUGGUGAGGUAAUGGCCCACCAAACCUGUAACCGGUACGGGCUCUGAGAGGAGGAGCCCGGAGAUGGGUACUGAGAAAAGGACCCAGGCCCUAUGGGGCGCAGCAGGCGCGAAACCUCUGCAAUAGGCGAAAGCCUGACAGGGUUACUCUGAGUGACUUUCNNUACNAAAGUCUUUNGACACCUACUCGAGACCGGGAGAGGUUAGAAGUAUUCCUUGGGUACCGGUAAAAUGGGUUAAUCCAAGGAGGACUACCAAUGGCGAAGGCAUCUAACCAGAACGGUUCUGACUGUGAGGGACGAAAGCUAGGGGAGCAAAACGGAUUAGAUACCCGAGUAGUCCUAGCCGUAAACGCUGCGAGCAAGGUAUUGCAUCUCCCACGAGGAUGUGCAGUGUCGAAACGAAGGUGUUAAGCUCGCCGCCAGGGAAGUACGGUCGCAAGGCUGAAACUUAAAGGAAUUGGCGGGGGAGCGCCACAAGGGGUGCGGCGUGCGGUUCAAUCUAACUCAACACAGAGAACCUCACUAGGCCCGACGGCAGAAUGAAGGUCAUGCUGAAGACAUUACCUGACGAGCCGAGAGGUAGUGCAUGGCCGUCGCCAGCUCGUGCUGUGAAGUGUCCAGUUAAGUCUGGCAACGAGCGAGACCCGCGCC
Molecule: ribosomal RNA, 799 nt
Filed under: uncultured archaeon
Lineage: Archaea
Description: bacterial SSU rRNA
Rfam family: Archaeal small subunit ribosomal RNA
Source: RNAcentral